CAGCUGUAAACGAUGCAGACUAGGUGUUUGGACGGCCACGUGCCGUUCUAGUGCCGCAGGGAAGCUGUUAAGUCUGCCGCCUGGGGAGUACGAUCGCAAGAUUGAAACUUAAAGGAAUUGGCGGGGGAGCACCACAACGGGUGGAGCCUGCGGUUUAAUUGGACUCAACGCCGGGAAGCUCACCGGAUAAGACAGCGGAAUGAUUGCCGGGCUGAAGACCCUGCAUGACCAGCUGAGAGGUGGUGCAUGGCGUAGUCGUGU
Molecule: ribosomal RNA, 261 nt
Filed under: uncultured archaeon
Lineage: Archaea
Description: partial 16S ribosomal RNA
Rfam family: Archaeal small subunit ribosomal RNA
Source: RNAcentral